RNAcentral lists this ribosomal RNA (301 nucleotides) under uncultured bacterium. RNAcentral describes it as "partial 16S ribosomal RNA". It matches the Rfam family "Bacterial small subunit ribosomal RNA", at positions 509 to 808 of the family's 1533-position model. The record is from RNAcentral.
CAGCCGCCGCGGUAUUACGGAGGGGGCUAGCGUUGUUCGGAAUUACUGGGCGUAAAGCGCACGUAGGCGGCUUGGUAAGUUAGAGGUGAAAGCCCGGAGCUCAACUCCGGAAUUGCCUUUAAGACUGCCGAGCUAGUAGGUGAGAGAGGUAAGUGGAAUUCCGAGUGUAGAGGUGAAAUUCGUAGAUAUUCGGAAGAACACCAGUGGCGAAGGCGGCUUACUGGCUCAUUCUAGACGCUGAGGUGCGAAAGCGUGGGGAGCAAACAGGAUUAGAUACCCGCGUAGUCCUGUCUCUUAUACC